GAAAUGCGAUAAGUAAUGUGAAUUGCAGAAUUCAGUGAAUCAUCGAAUCUUUGAACGCACAUUGCGCCCGCCAGUAUUCUGGCGGGCAGGCCUGUCCGAGUGUCAUUUCAACCAUCAAGCCCCCGGGCUUGUGUUGGGGACCUGCGGCUGCCCGCAGGCCCUGAAAACCAGUGGCGGGCUCGCUGUCACACCGAGCGUAGUAGCAAUCACCUCGCUCAGGGCGUGCUGCGGGUUCCGGCCGUUAAACAGCCUUACAAAACCCAAGGUUGACCUCGGAUCAGGUAGGAAGACCCGCUGAACUUAAGC
RNAcentral lists this unclassified non-coding RNA (306 nucleotides) under plant metagenome. Its description in RNAcentral is "partial contains 5.8S ribosomal RNA, internal transcribed spacer 2, and large subunit ribosomal RNA". The stretch from base 1 to 105 matches the Rfam family "5.8S ribosomal RNA", at positions 50 to 154 of the family's 154-position model. The record is from RNAcentral.